Small nucleolar RNA from Bombina bombina (fire-bellied toad), 132 nucleotides. RefSeq annotates it as small nucleolar RNA SNORA68. NCBI's taxonomy places the organism in Eukaryota, Metazoa, Chordata, Amphibia, Anura, Bombinatoridae. The transcript has a single exon. The record is from RefSeq and is a predicted model, not a curated record.
UUUGCACACAUAACCCAAAGAGCAUUAUAUCAUUCUGUAAUGUUCUUGUCUGUUGUGCAUAAAUAAAAUUUACCUUGUCGCCUUUCAGAAGUUUUCUAUAUUCCUGAAAGUGAAAUUUAAGGUAUCACAAUG